AUGGGUGAUGAGACGAGCCCGGCCCCGACGCCGAUGGGGAUGCCCCCCUGCGUGCUGCGUCGUCAAGACAAGCGCUGGAAGAGCGUCAUUAUUGGAGUUGCUUCUGGGACGGGCCUUGUACUUUUGGCUCUCAUUGCAUUCCUUGUUUUCAACAAAUUUAAGUGCCGGAGGGCCCAAAUGUUGGAAGGGAAGUACUUCCAGCGAAACCGUGGGCAAUUGCUGCAACAAUUGGCAUCUCAAAGAGCUGAUGUUUCAGAGAAAAUGAUCAUGACCUUGCAAGAGCUAGAGAAGGCAACAAACAAUUUUGAUCAUGGUCAUGAAAUUGGUAGUGGUGGGCAUGGCACCGUGUAUAAAGGGAUUUUGUCAGACCUCCAUGUUGUAGCUAUUAAAAAACCAAAGAUGGUAUCUCAAAGGGAGAUUGAUGAGUUUAUUAACGAGGCUGCUAUCCUAUCACAAAUUAACCACAAGAAUGUGGUAAAACUAUAUGGUUGUUGCUUUGACACGGAAGUCCCACUAUUAGUCUACGAGUUCGUAUCCAAUGGAACUCUUCGUGAUCAUCUUCAUGUUGAAGGACCGAUAUCAUUAUCAUGGGAUGACAGACUACGAAUAGCAACGGAAACGGCUAGAUCUCUAGCCUAUCUUCACUCAGCAACUUUAAUACCAAUCAUCCAUGGAGAUAUCAAGCCUGCUAACAUACUUCUGGAUGAUACUCUAACAACAAAGAUAGCAGACUUUGGAGCUUCAAGAUACAUUCCAUUGGACAAAUCAGGGUUAACAACAAUGGUGCAAGGCACACUAGGAUAUCUAGACCCAGUGUAUUUGCACACAGGGCGCCUCACAGCAAAAAGUGAUGUUUAUAGCUUUGGUGCUAUGCUUAUAGAACUGAUGACCAGAAAGAAGCCAUUUGAUUAUAUGGCUAGCGAAGACAAUAUCCUUGUGGAACAUUUUGCUACCUUAUUUGCAGAAGGCAAUUUGUCACUAACAUUAGAUCCACAAGUUAUGAAUGAGGGUGGUAACCUAAUUGAAGAAAUCGCUGGAAUUCCAGUAGCAUGUGUGAAAUUAAGAAGGAGGGAACGACCAACCAUGAGAGAAGUGGAAUUGAGAUUGCAAGUCACUCAAUCAUCUAGGGGAUUUAAGGCGAAUGUUAAUACUGUAGUAGAUUCUCCGUUACAUAGAGAUGAAAGAAUCAAAGAGGGGUUGACUAGCAGACAAUAUAGUAUGGAAGAAGAGUAUAUGUUAUCUGCAAGAUAUCCGCGGUAG
This 1260-nucleotide ribosomal RNA is filed under the name Triticum aestivum (bread wheat). RNAcentral's name for it is "partial small subunit ribosomal RNA". Lineage: Eukaryota; Viridiplantae; Streptophyta; Magnoliopsida; Poales; Poaceae. The record is from RNAcentral.